UUACCGUGAAAAAAUUAGAGUGUUCAAAGCAGGCAGAUCCAAUUUUCUGCCACCGAAUACAUUAGCAUGGGAUAAUGGAAUAGGACCCUGUCCUCCUAUUUUCAGUUGGUUUUGGCAGCGCGAGGACUAGGGUAAUGAUUAAUAGGGAUAGUUGGGGGCAUUAAUAUUUAAUUGUCAGAGGUGAAAUUCUUGGAUUUAUGAAAGAUUAACUUCUGCGAAAGCAUCUGCCAAGGAUGUUUUCAUUAAUCAAGAACGAAAGUUAGGGGAUCGAAGACGAUCAGAUACCGUCGUAGUCUUAACCAUAAACGAUGCCGACCAGCGAUUAGGAGACGUUGAAUACAAAACACCACCAUCGGCGCGGUCGUCCUUGGCGUCUGUCCCUUUCAACGGGGGCAGGCGCGAGGGCGGUUUAGCCCGGUGGCACCGGUGAAUGACUCCCUAGCA
This 444-nucleotide ribosomal RNA is filed under the name Acanthamoeba sp. Acp49. RNAcentral's name for it is "SSU rRNA". It matches the Rfam family "Eukaryotic small subunit ribosomal RNA", at positions 752 to 1085 of the family's 1831-position model. The record is from RNAcentral. Lineage: Eukaryota; Discosea; Longamoebia; Acanthamoebidae.